Molecule: ribosomal RNA, 283 nt
Filed under: Clostridioides difficile
Lineage: Bacteria; Bacillati; Bacillota; Clostridia; Peptostreptococcales; Peptostreptococcaceae
Description: partial 16S ribosomal RNA
Rfam family: Bacterial small subunit ribosomal RNA
Source: RNAcentral
AAUAUCAAAGGUGAGCCAGUACAGGAUGGACCCGCGUCUGAUUAGCUAGUUGGUAAGGUAACGGCUUACCAAGGCGACGAUCAGUAGCCGACCUGAGAGGGUGAUCGGCCACAUUGGAACUGAGACACGGUCCAAACUCCUACGGGAGGCAGCAGCGGGGAAUAUUGCACAAUGGGCGAAAGCCUGAUGCAGCAACGCCGCGUGAGUGAUGAAGGCCUUCGGGUCGUAAAACUCUGUCCUCAAGGAAGAUAAUGACGGUACUUGAGGAGGAAGCCCCGGCUAA